This is a non-coding RNA of Ornithorhynchus anatinus (platypus), 72 nucleotides long. The record is from Rfam. Lineage: Eukaryota; Metazoa; Chordata; Mammalia; Monotremata; Ornithorhynchidae.
AGCAGCGUGGCUCAGUGGAAAGAGCACGGGCUUUGCAGUCCGAGGUCAUGGGUUCGAAUCCCGGCUCGGCCA